This is a long non-coding RNA of Pollicipes pollicipes, 336 nucleotides long. RefSeq lists it as uncharacterized. Lineage: Eukaryota; Metazoa; Arthropoda; Thecostraca; Pollicipedomorpha; Pollicipedidae. The transcript has 3 exons. The record is from RefSeq and is a predicted model, not a curated record.
UGUGAUGUGUGUUGUCGUUGCUGUUUCUGUAUAUGCCCAGUUGCAUUUAAGGAACAAUUGUAUUUUAUCAGGUGUCCUUAGGAUAUCGAGCCAUCGUAUCGUUAUCAAGAUACCUACUUCAUUCUCUCGCAACGCUUUUCAUAUCUUAGGGCAAAAUAGGCGAAUUCUGAUCGAACUCAGCCGACCUAUAAUUUCAAAAUGAAUUUCAUGAACAUCCGCGACGGUCAGUACACUAUGACCAUCUAUCAAAAGAUACGGGAAGGUCUAUACAAGGAAGCAGUGCAAAUUUUGAAUGCCAUAUUGGAUACAUACCCCACGUCUCGGGCGGCGCUGUCG